GUUUUAUUUCGAUGUGUCAAUUGGUCUUUCCAGUCAGGGGGUUAGUUCCCUGUUCUUGACUGACAACUUAUUCUGUUAGUCGUUUCGCAAUUCUAUACUGCUUGACCCGCUGAGUUCCUCCAGCAGUUUUUUUUACAUCUAUGGACUCUUGUGUGAAGUAAGAUUGUCCAUGAUCCACCAAGUACGGCCGCACAAAUCACCGACUAACACUUCUGUGUUUACAGCUCACUAAGUUUCCGUUCCUUCGUGAUUCUCCCUCGAUGACACUCAAAAUAAUGAACUUUAGUCUUGCUGUUUCCGCAGCACGUUCCCCAUGAUACCCAAGGAGUAAAUGCACCAUUGGAAUGGUAUGUGUUGCCAAAAUGAAACUACUUUUUCUGGAAUUUUCUAUUACGGUAUGAAGUUCAAGUGACAGAAAAUCUGAGGAAAUUCAGAGCCUGAAUUUCAUUAAAGAAGAGGACAAUGGCUGGAAACCUAUGUGUC
Long non-coding RNA from Pristis pectinata (smalltooth sawfish), 483 nucleotides. RefSeq lists it as uncharacterized. The transcript has 3 exons. The record is from RefSeq and is a predicted model, not a curated record. NCBI's taxonomy places the organism in Eukaryota, Metazoa, Chordata, Chondrichthyes, Rhinopristiformes, Pristidae.